Molecule: ribosomal RNA, 350 nt
Filed under: uncultured Pseudomonas sp.
Lineage: Bacteria; Pseudomonadati; Pseudomonadota; Gammaproteobacteria; Pseudomonadales; Pseudomonadaceae
Description: bacterial SSU rRNA
Rfam family: Bacterial small subunit ribosomal RNA
Source: RNAcentral
AGGUGCUAAGCAUGGCUGUCGUCAGCUCGUGUCGUGAGAUGGUUGGGUUAACGUCCCGUAACGAGCGCAACCCUUGUCCUUAGUUACCAGCACGUUAUGGUGGCACUCUAAGGAGACUGCCGGUGACAAACCGGAGGAAGGUGGGGAUGACGUCAAGUCAUCAUGGCCCUUACGGCCUGGGCUACACACGUGCUACAAUGGUCGGUACAAAGGGUUGCCAAGCCGCGAGGUGGAGCUAAUCCCAUAAAACCGAUCGUAGUCCGGAUCGCAGUCUGCAACUCGACUGCGUGAAGUCGGAAUCGCUAGUAAUCGUGAAUCAGAAUGUCACGGUGAAUACGUUCCCGGGCCUU